RNAcentral lists this ribosomal RNA (379 nucleotides) under uncultured Sphingobacteriales bacterium. RNAcentral's name for it is "bacterial SSU rRNA". It matches the Rfam family "Bacterial small subunit ribosomal RNA", at positions 39 to 415 of the family's 1533-position model. The record is from RNAcentral. Lineage: Bacteria; Pseudomonadati; Bacteroidota; Sphingobacteriia; Sphingobacteriales.
GCGGCAGGCCUAAUACAUGCAAGACGAACGGUAAGCGAGGUAGCAAUAUUUCGCCUAGAGUGUCGUAAGGGUGCGUAACACGUAUGCAAUCUGCCCCCAACAGGAGGAUAGCUCGGGGAAACCCGAAUUAACCCUUCAUAAUAUCACGUGAGGGCAUCCGAUUGUGAUUAAAACUGAGGUGGUUGGGGAUGAGCAUGCGUCUGAUUAGCUAGUUGGUAGGGUAAUGGCCUACCAAGGCGAUGAUCAGUAGGGGAACUGAGAGGUUGAUCCCCCACACUGGCACUGAGAUACGGGCCAGACUCCUACGGGAGGCAGCAGUAGGGAAUAUUGGACAAUGGGUGCGAGCCUGAUCCAGCCAUGCCGCGUGCAGGAAGACGGC